Long non-coding RNA from Octopus sinensis (East Asian common octopus), 123 nucleotides. RefSeq lists it as uncharacterized. The transcript has 3 exons. The record is from RefSeq and is a predicted model, not a curated record. NCBI's taxonomy places the organism in Eukaryota, Metazoa, Mollusca, Cephalopoda, Octopoda, Octopodidae.
CCUCGCACCGCCAGAACUUAAGAUGCAAUUCGUCAAGAAAUUACUGCCAUUCCACAUGAAAUGACCUGCCGAGUUAUUGACAACUUUCGUGAACGCCUUCGACAGUUUGUGAGAUCAGAAGAG